AUGGAGCUCGGGCAGGUGCUGGGCUACACGCCACCGGCGACCAAGGACGCGAGAUCCGGCGGCGGCUUCACCCAGGCUGCCGCUUGCCCCUACCCCUACCCCUCCCCCUUCCUCGACGAGCAGAAGAUGCUCAGCUUCUCCAAGGCCGCCGCCGCUCACCAGCCGCCCUCAGGUAUGGAUUUUGGGAGGUCCAAUGAGCAGAGGCUGUUGCUGGCCAGGAGCAAGAUGCCCUUCACCCCUUCACAGUGGAUGGAGCUGGAGCACCAGGCCCUCAUUUACAAGUAUCUCAAUGCAAAGGCCCCCAUACCUUCCGGCCUGCUCAUCUCCAUCAGCAAGAGCUUCAGACCCUCCUCCGAUAGAAUGCCCUGGAGGCCUGUCUAUCAAGGGUUCACCAAUGCAGAUUCUGACCCGGAACCUGGAAGAUGCCGUCGAACAGACGGCAAGAAAUGGCGGUGCUCAAAGGAGGCGAUGGCCGAGCACAAGUACUGUGAGCGGCACAUCAAUAGGAACCGCCAUCGUUCAAGAAAGCCUGUGGAAAACCAAACAAGGAAGAACGCCAAAGAGACACCUGCUGCUGGCUCGAUAUCGGCCGCUGUCUCACAGGGUGGCUGUAAGAAAGCAAAAGCUGGUGAUGAACUGAAGCCAGGGAGCGUCAGUUAUUGGACAGAUAAUUUAAACAGGGCAAUGGUGAGCAAAGCCAGGGGAAACAACCCUGAAGAAGGCAACAGUGCUCCACUCCUGAAUUCUACUAAUCAACAACACACAUUGUCCUUGUUCUCUCAACUGAAGCAACAGAGCAAACCAGAUAAGUUCAGCCCGGCAGUCGAUAGUGAAUCGAUCUCCUCAAAUACUGUAUUGAAGCCUUGGGAAAGAAGCAACCAGCAGAGCAGUAAGGACGUUUCUUCCACGACGCUCCAUGAUCGCGGGUGCCUUCAAUCAGUCCUUCAAGAUUUCAGCAUGCAUAAGAAUGACAAGAUCGAGUCUCAGAAAAACAAUGCUUCAGUGCCAUCUACUUUCUAUUCAUCUACAGAAGGUCGACACAUCAGCUGCCUUGCAUCUAACAUGAUGCAAGUGCAGGAGGAUUGCAUCUCAAGCUCUUGGGAGAUACCUCAAGGUGGGCCUUUAGGUGAAAUCCUAACAAACUCCAAGAAUACUGAUGACUUGACCAAUAAGUGUGAAUCAAGAUCAUAUGGUUGGUUACUGAGUCUUGAUGAACAUGAAAUGUGA
This 1227-nucleotide ribosomal RNA is filed under the name Triticum aestivum (bread wheat). RNAcentral's name for it is "partial small subunit ribosomal RNA". The record is from RNAcentral. Lineage: Eukaryota; Viridiplantae; Streptophyta; Magnoliopsida; Poales; Poaceae.